CGCCUUUCUGUGACACGAGUGGGCCAUCCACCAAACACUGGCAUCUGGAAGAGGGACAUUAAAGGAAGCGGGGGAGGGGAAGACAGUAUAUGAGAUAUGCCCUUUAGCAGCCGUACAGCUGAGCUGCAAAUGUGCUCAGGUACUGCUGCUACUGCUUGGAAGUAGAAAGAACCAAUAAUGCUGGAAUUCACAGGGCUUCCUCUCUAUAGCCCUCAUGUCUGUGCUGGCAUGCUGCUCUUAAUGAGCUAAUUGUGUUUGUUAAUUGACAGUAAUGGAGCUUAGUUAAAGUUGCAUAUUAAUUAAGACAUUUCC
Non-coding RNA from Pelobates cultripes (western spadefoot toad), 312 nucleotides. Lineage: Eukaryota; Metazoa; Chordata; Amphibia; Anura; Pelobatidae. The record is from the annotation of a GenBank genome assembly.